GGAGACGCAGAUACAACGACGGAGGCGAUUUUCAUCAAACUAUUUAGCUGCUGCAAAUCAACGCGGAUGAAUUAACUGAAGAAAUAUCGCGUUCAGUUGAAGAAGUAAGUCCUUUAUACGGUGUCCAAUUAAACAAUAUGUAGUGAGAUGCCUUAGACUUAAUAUUUGACUUAUAUUUGUCGUUUAGAUUGAAGGAUUAAAGCAAUUCCCGUGCGAAUAUCGACGCAGUAUUAAGCACUCGACAAAUUCUACAGCUAGUACUGCCAAAGGGAAAAUCAAAACCCAUGUUAUAUAUGACUUAUCACGCAUAUGAGAAGGCAUUGUCGAUCAUUCGAGAGGUAGGGAAAAGGAAAGAAUAUUUUCAUCCAUGCAGAGAAGAUAAAGUCGUGCUUUUGAUGCUGGUGAAUAUGCCCGAACG
Paramuricea clavata is the source of this 418-nucleotide non-coding RNA. The record is from the annotation of a GenBank genome assembly. NCBI's taxonomy places the organism in Eukaryota, Metazoa, Cnidaria, Anthozoa, Malacalcyonacea, Plexauridae.